UCACAACUCACAGAUAUGAAUGAACAAGAGGAAGUAUUACUAGAACAGUUUCUCAGUUUACCUCAACUAAAACAAAUUAUUAAUGACAAGGAUGACUUAGUAAAAAGUAUUGAGGAAUUAGCAAGAAAAAAUCUCCUCUUGGAGCCCAGUUUGGAAGCCAAAAGGCAAACUGUUUUAGAUAAGUAUUAGUUACUUACACAAAUGAAAUCUACGUUUGAAAAGAAGAUGCAGAGACAACAUGAACUGAGUGAGAGUUGUAGUGCAAGUGCCCUACAGGCAAGAUUGAAAGUCGCUGCACAUGAAGCUGAGGAAGAAUCUGAUAAUAUUGCUGAAGAUUUCUCGGAGGGAAAAACUGAAAUAGAUGAUUUUCUCAGUAGCUUCAUGGAAAAAAGAACAAUUUGCCACUGUAGAAGAGCCAAGGAAGAGAAACUUCAACAAGUGAUAGCAAUGCACAGCCAAUUUCAUGCUCCAUUAUAGAUUUUCCUGAAAACAUGGACUGCCAAGAGAGAAAUGGGACAUAAAACUUAG
Long non-coding RNA from Dipodomys ordii (Ord's kangaroo rat), 528 nucleotides. RefSeq lists it as uncharacterized. The record is from RefSeq and is a predicted model, not a curated record. Lineage: Eukaryota; Metazoa; Chordata; Mammalia; Rodentia; Heteromyidae. The transcript is spliced from 5 exons.